RNAcentral lists this ribosomal RNA (253 nucleotides) under uncultured bacterium. RNAcentral describes it as "partial 16S ribosomal RNA". It matches the Rfam family "Bacterial small subunit ribosomal RNA", at positions 524 to 776 of the family's 1533-position model. The record is from RNAcentral.
UACGUAGGUGGCAAGCGUUGUCCGGAAUUAUUGGGCGUAAAGCGCGCGCAGGCGGUCCUUUAAGUCUGAUGUGAAAGCCCACGGCUCAACCGUGGAGGGUCAUUGGAAACUGGGGGACUUGAGUACAGAAGAGAAGAGUGGAAUUCCACGUGUAGCGGUGAAAUGCGUAGAGAUGUGGAGGAACACCAGUGGCGAAGGCGGCUACCUGGCCCACUCUUGACGCUGAGGCGCGAAAGCUAGGGGAGCAAGCGGG